CCACCCCUUUCUCAUGUGUGACUGAAGACUGCAUUACUCUAUUUUUUAGUCACCAUUAGAAGCAACUAACUGGGUACUUGAGUACCUGACUUGGGUACCUGACUCAGAAGUUAAUAGUGUCUCAGUUUUACCAUUCUAUAACUGUCAGGAAGCUAAGCAAACCUAGGCGUCAAGGACCCUGCCCCUCCCCAUGCAUGCUUGGAUUCUCUUAAUCCCUGACUCUCUGAGCUACUUCUCCAGUACAACCCCAAUGGGAUGGCCUUCUUCCCCUACUUACUGUUCUUUCCCUGCAAUUAGCUUCUAAGAACAAGCUUCCAGGGCACGGGUUCUCAACCUGCGGGUCUUGACCCCUUAGGAAAUUACUGAAUGACUCUUUCACAGGGUUUGCCUCAGAGUGUCAGAAAACAGUUAUUUACAUUAGAAUUCAUAAAUAGCAAAAGCACAGUUAUGAAGUAGCAAUGAAACAAUUUAAUGGUUGUAGGUCACCAUAGCAAUGAGGAACUGUAUCAGAGUCACAGGAAGGAAGGUUGAGAACCACUGCUAGAGGCAAGGAACUUAGAACCCAAGCAGAGUUCUGAGAUCCCUGAAGAUAGGGACCGUGACACUGUGUCUGCCUUCCAUAAGGAUUCAUUCUCAAGAUCAGACUCUUGAGAAUGGUUUUUGUCACCACGAAAUAAUAGAGCUGGUGCUUGCAUGCACAUGUGUCUGGGGAACCGUUCUUGCCUGAGGAAAGUGUGUCCUCAAAGAGCAUGGGGCAGACGUUCAUGUGGAAAUGGGGGAUCCCUUUGCGCUUUGAAGCAGUAAAUGAUAGGACAAGAAGGGAAACAACUCGCCCAGGACAAAGUACUCUUCUCACAGCUGACUGCAGUAUUUACCUACAAGUGCGUGUUGCCCGGAGAACGUAUGCACUCGGAUGCUCACCAACUCACCCAGGGGAGGCAUGAGGAAAUUGGAAGUCAAGUUUAGGGAGUCCCAGAGUGGCAGCCUGGAGCAGUCGGAAGACUUGGGAUGUAUGAUUCAGAGGUGUGCAUCACCAGCUGGAUAUGCACCAGUAAGGACCCCCGCCUCCUAGUCCAUGAACGACUCCAAGUUACUACUGGAAUAAAGAAACAAGGUUAAACUUCCUCAUACUGGUUCCAGGGCAUCUGUUGGUAGGGCUUGAGAGUCCCUGAAGAAUCAAAGGCCACCUUGUUCACUAAAUGAGACAACUAGUCCAUGUGGGUCAAGCUGGGCA
Molecule: long non-coding RNA, 1234 nt
Filed under: Rattus norvegicus (Norway rat)
Lineage: Eukaryota; Metazoa; Chordata; Mammalia; Rodentia; Muridae
Description: long non-coding RNA NONRATT032995
Source: RNAcentral